This is a non-coding RNA of Pelobates cultripes (western spadefoot toad), 278 nucleotides long. NCBI's taxonomy places the organism in Eukaryota, Metazoa, Chordata, Amphibia, Anura, Pelobatidae. The record is from the annotation of a GenBank genome assembly.
AGAUGUCCCCUACGGACACUCCGAUCAAUGUCCUCCUUCAAAUUAGCGAGCCACACUUUUAAGGCUCUGGAGAGAGUGGUCAGUGCCACUGCCGGAUGAAGGGCGGAUCCCAGGGCCAAAUAGGCUUUAAUCAGAUCUCCAUCCAUACGCUUUUCCAUAGGCUCCCUGAGAUAUGCCAUGGAGUCAAUAUGCAGCGUAGUUUUCUUUGCCAUAUGGAUCACCGCAACGUCAAUCUUAGGAACUGUAUUUAACAGGCAGCAGUCCACUGCAGAGUACGG